This 407-nucleotide ribosomal RNA is filed under the name uncultured bacterium. RNAcentral's name for it is "partial 16S ribosomal RNA". It matches the Rfam family "Bacterial small subunit ribosomal RNA", at positions 28 to 526 of the family's 1533-position model. The record is from RNAcentral.
GACGAACGCUGGCGGCGCGCUUAACACAUGCAAGUCGAGCGAAGCGGCGGACGGGUUAGUAACACGUGAGUAAACUGCCUUAGACAUUGGGAUUGCCUCGGGAUACCGGGGUUAAUACCAAAUGGUCUAAGAUGGACUCGCGUCCCAUUAGCUAGUUGGUGAGGUAACGGCCCACCAAGGCGACGAUAGGCAGCCGGCCGGUGAGGGUGAACGGAUACAUUGGAACUGAGAAACGGUCCAAACUCUACGGGAGGCAGCAUUGGGGAAUAUUGCACAAUGGAGGGAAGUAUGAUGCAGCGAGGCCGCGUGAACGAAGAAGGCUUUCGAGUCGUAAAGUUAUUUUAUAUGGGAAGCGGUACCAUAAGAAAAAGCCCCGGCUAACUACGUGCCAGCAGCCGCGGUAAUUC